UUUGAAAUUGCCAUAAUAGACACAGAUUUGAGAACCAAAGAGGUGCUAAGGCCUCCUGUUUCUUGGUUUGAUUGAGCUUGCCAAGAAGCAUAAAAAGUCCUGGCAGUGUUUGUGAGAAAAUACCCCAGUGGAAUUCAGCGCUCGCACAAUUCUUUGGCUUAUUUUUCCAUAGAGUUGUCUAUGUUACUGAUGGGAAGUAACGAAGACACACACACCACCAUUCACAAUAGACAAGACAUGGAAGCAACCCAAGUGCCCAUUGACCAAUGAUUGGAUAAAGAAGGUGUGGUUUUGGAAAAUCUUGUAAAGAGUAGUGAGAAGUUCCUGGGGCAGUGUGAAGGCAGUUCUCUACAGAUCGACCCUGAGGAUGAAGUGAAUAGCUCUCACUGGACAUGCUGAGGAAGACUUCACUAAACCGACGCCUCUUCUGCCGUAUUCUAUAAUUUUCCAACACCAGAAAGAUUCAGAAAAUUGUAUUCUUUUACUCCUGUCUUCCGAGUUGGCAGGAUACUGUUUAGACACAUUAUACUUCUACAACAAAUUAAAAGUAAAAUGAGCAUAGC
RNAcentral lists this long non-coding RNA (563 nucleotides) under Equus caballus (horse). Its description in RNAcentral is "lncRNA (ENSECAG00000055307.1)". Lineage: Eukaryota; Metazoa; Chordata; Mammalia; Perissodactyla; Equidae. The record is from RNAcentral.